CAGUUUAAGGACGAAUCUUGUAGCAAAUAAUUGUUUUCAGUUAUGGUUUUAUCCAAAAUCGUGAAUUGCUUUUGUCCAGGCGCUCUCUCUCAGAAAACCCUUUUCAGUAUUAUGUUCUUAUCAUUUAUUUUACAAGUUAUUCUUUAAUUUGGAUUUAAUGGAAAGAGACUAUUUAAUAUUUAAUGAGUACCACAAUCUCUCUCUCUCUCUCUCUCUCUCUCUCUCUCACACACACACACACAAAUGCUUUGGUCACCGAAUAUUCUUGCUUUUCUUUGAUCGAUUAAGAAGGUUUUAAGAUGAUGUCAGGUGCCUGUGUUGUCGAUAUUACCAGAUUAUACAUAGCCUUGCAAGAUUCUUCUUAUUGAGGGCAUUAGUAUGUUAUAACAGGUAUGGGAUACAAGACAACAAUCAUGCUAAAAUUCGUUUAAAGUUCUUGUACAUCCUCUUCCAUUCACUUUGUUACAAGUGGUAGAAACAGGGCCAGUCCAAACAUAUAUGGGGCCCGGGGGGAAAAGAAAAAAAAGGCCUCUCAAAUACAAAUAUAAUAAAGAUUCAAAAAAUUAUCAUUACUCUUCAAUAUAGACGUUCUCAAUUAGAAAUAAAAAGCAAACUAAAUUGUUUAUAUUUUGAGCUAAAUUGAGUUUCAAUCAACUUUAGGUCCUAAAAAUCAUUUCGGUAAUAUAUAUAUAUAUAUAUAUAUAUAUAUAUAUAUAUAUAUAUAUAUAUAUAUAUAUAUAUAUAAACUACAUAGUCCAUAAAUUUUGGGCCCCCUGAAGUCGUAGGCCCUGGGCGGUCGCCCGGGUUGCCCACCGUUUGGACCGGCCCUAGGUAGAAAUACAAGAAAAGGUUUAUAAAGUUAUUCCCUCGUCCACCACCCUAUUCUCGAUUCUUUAUGAUAUUCAUCUUUUAUCACAUGUAAUUAGUGUGGCUUGGUUGAAGCUUUAGCCCCAACAAUCAUUUCCUUUUAAAGGAAUUGACUUCACUUAUAUCAUCAUGUGAUGUUCUUAUAUAGAAUUUCAAGGUUCGCCAACUAUUUCCUCGACGAAAUGCUUAAUAGAACCUUUUGAUUUCUUCUUUAUUAAUAUUAAGAUUAAGAUCAUACAUACUUAUAAAGCUAGCAUUUUUUCUUGAAUCUCAUGAAUUUGAAACCCCCAUUCUUUUUUCAUUUCACCACAUUCAUUUGAAACUCCCAUGACUUUUCAAUUUCUUUAUAAUAAUAAUUAUAAUUUGGUAAUUAGGUUAAACAAAUAUAAAUUCUAAAGUGUAUUCAUAUAUAAACUAAAUUUCAAUAUUAAAAUAAUAUCUUUAAUUCUACUUAUAAAAUUAUGUUUUUUAACUUUUAACAUAUUAUACUUAAUUUAUUAGUUUUAAUAUAUUGUUGGAUGUAAACCAUUAUCAUUUUAAAGGUAUAAUUUUUGAACAAUUUGUAUAAAAUACUUAAAUUAUAAAUUAAAAUAUAACAUUAUAGGCUCAACUUAAAUAUAAAUUUGAUUUAACUUAAACAACCCAAAGAUUAUUUUAUAAAUAGUUAAAAGUGAUAAAUUGUAGAGUCUUUCUAAUAAUGAUUGUAAGUUGGUUAAUAAGGUAAAAUCAAUAUCAAACAUAAAGUGUAAUCAUAAAUAGACUAAAUUUCAAUUUUAAAAUAAUAUAUUUACUUUUAUUUAUAAAGUUAUGUCUUUAAAUUUUAACAUAUUAUACUUAACUUAUUAGAUUUAAAAUGUUGUUGCAUGUAAACCAUUAUCAGUUUAAAGCUGCAACUUUUGAAUAGUUUGGACAAAAUACUUAAAUUGUUAAUUUAAAUAUAACAUUGUAGUGUCACCUUAAAUAUAAAUUUCAGUUCCAUUAAAAAACCAAAUAACAUUUUGUAAAUAGUUAAAAGUGAUAAAUUAUAGUGAUAAAUGCAAAAACUAAAUUGUAAUAUCAGUUUAACUAAAUAUGUUUAUAUAAUCGUUAAAAAUUUUCAACUAAGUAGCUUAAAAUAACUUAUAAUAACAAUAGUUAAAAAUAACUCUCUAUAAAUGAUUAUAUAGUUACCUUUAAAAUCAAAAAAUAAUGUUUGAUGUUUUAAAUAAUUAUAAUGAUAGAAAUUAAAACAUUAAGAAAAUAAAUUUUAAAAAAUUAGUUAAAAAUAACAACUAUAAAUAAUAUUAAACCAUAUAUAAUAUUUAAUUUUAUUGAUGUGUAACUCGUGAGUAAAAGUCAUUCAAACAAUUGGAAUUAUGACGUUAUAAUAAUUUAUAUAUUAUCAUAUAAUUCAAAAUAAUCAAUAUAUUAUAUCAAAUUAAUCUACAAAUUAUUAUAUCAAAUUUAACAAGAACGUUAGUGUUAUAUUUAAAAAAUCAUAUAUUUGUAAAAACUUCAACUAUAUAAAUGUUUCUGCGCAACGUGCGGCCAUUCGCCUAGUUUUAUAUAUUUUUAUGCAACUUCACAUGCAAUUAUUGUGGUUAUGUUGAAGCUUUAGGCCUCUUUAAUUACGGGACAUUAUUUCUUUGUUUAAAUUGGGAAUUUAGUAUUACACUUUACAACCACCUCAUAUGUUGAAUUGUUAUGGUUGAAUUUAUUUUAAUUACUCCUUUUGGUUGAAUUUUCAUGCCCUAUAUGUUGCUAAAGAGUCGUUUUUCUGAAUUAUUAUGUUGAAUUGGCUUGGAUAUUAUAACAAUUAAAUUAAAAUGAGUACAAUGAAAACACCUCUUCGUACAAACAUAGCAACAUACUUAUGGUUAAAUGCAAAAUAGUAAUUUAUUGCAAUUAUCAUUGAUUUUUGUUUGUUUUUGAAGUUUUUUAUAGUUUAUACUCAAGAGUUUAUAUUAUUUUUCUUUAAUUUCCAAUUUUACACGGUUUGCUCUUUUGUUG
Lactuca sativa (garden lettuce) is the source of this 2856-nucleotide long non-coding RNA. RefSeq lists it as uncharacterized. Lineage: Eukaryota; Viridiplantae; Streptophyta; Magnoliopsida; Asterales; Asteraceae. The record is from RefSeq and is a predicted model, not a curated record.